GGGUGUGACUGCGUACCUUUUGUAUAAUGGGUCAGCGACUUAUAUUCUGUAGCAAGGUUAACCGAAUAGGGGAGCCGGAGGGAAACCGAGUCUUAACCGGGCGUUAAGUUGCAGGGUAUAGACCCGAAACCCGGUGAUCUAGCCAUGGGCAGGUUGAAGGUUGGGUAACACUAACUGGAGGACCGAACCGACUAAUGUUGAAAAAUUAGCGGAUGACCUGUGGCUGGGGGUGAAAGGCCAAUCAAACCGGGAGAUAGCUGGUUCUCCCCGAAAGCUAUUUAGGUAGCGCCUCGUGAAUUCAUCUCCGGGGGUAGAGCACUGUUUCGGCUAGGGGGCCAUCCCGGCUUACCAACCCGAUGCAAACUGCGAAUACCGGAGAAUGUUAUCACGGGAGACACACGGCGGGUGCUAACGUCCGUCGUGAAGAGGGAAACAACCCAGACCGCCAGCUAAGGUCCCAAAGUCAUGGUUAAGUGGGAAACGAUGUGGGAAGGCCCAGACAGCCAGGAUGUUGGCUUAGAAGCAGCCAUCAUUUAAAGAAAGCGUAAUAGCUCACUGGUCGAGUCGGCCUGCGCGGAAGAUGUAACGGGGCUAAACCAUG
Molecule: ribosomal RNA, 601 nt
Filed under: Salmonella enterica
Lineage: Bacteria; Pseudomonadati; Pseudomonadota; Gammaproteobacteria; Enterobacterales; Enterobacteriaceae
Also listed under: 1 other name
Description: partial 23S ribosomal RNA
Rfam family: Bacterial large subunit ribosomal RNA
Source: RNAcentral